Juglans microcarpa x Juglans regia is the source of this 653-nucleotide long non-coding RNA. RefSeq lists it as uncharacterized. The record is from RefSeq and is a predicted model, not a curated record. NCBI's taxonomy places the organism in Eukaryota, Viridiplantae, Streptophyta, Magnoliopsida, Fagales, Juglandaceae. The transcript has 2 exons.
UGAUUCUUUUCCCUGCCUGCCUCACAGUCCAUCGAAUGCCAACCCGAGAGAGAUUUUUCCAUUCAACUCCAACGGCAAUGGCGUUGCCCCCAUUUCCUCCGUCAAACGACUCCUUCAACUCCGUUUCCUCCAGCUCUGAGGACUGCCGUACAGAGCAUUGAUCAUGGUGGUUGGGAAGGCCGCAGCUCCUGCGAAGCCAGUGAGGACCCUGCAAAACAACUCAGCUCUGCUCACGGGUGCUUGUUGGGAGGCAAGGGCUCCCGAUCACCACAUGCUAUACAUUACACAAUUUUAUUAGAAUGAUGACGCGAACGACUUCUUGUUCAAGCAUUGGAGAACCGUGCAGCUCAGUCCAAGUGGUCGUGCGGUUGGUGACGCUGCAUCUUCAGCAUGUCACCCUGACAUGACCAUGGAAUCAGCCCAAGCUAUGGCUGCAAUUAGGGAUGACAUUGACAUUUCUAUGUGGCAGACGGGUGGUCAUUGAAUGGUAAAUUGCUCAUGAUGAUAUGUAUAUAAUAAAUAUUGUGAUUGUAAGGGUGUAGUUUGAUUAUUCAAACUUAUUACCAUUUCGCAAUUACAUUUCAAAUUUAUUGCAAUUUAUAUAAUAUUUCUCAUCCAAUUUUGAUGAUAUAUCACACUAAAAUUUUUAUUUU